Molecule: long non-coding RNA, 426 nt
Organism: Sander lucioperca (pikeperch)
Lineage: Eukaryota; Metazoa; Chordata; Actinopteri; Perciformes; Percidae
Exons: 2
Source: RefSeq, a predicted model, not a curated record
AUGCAAUUAAUGUGAACCUGCACCACAGAGUCUGGUAAAAAUUGGUUCAUUAGAAUUUGCAGAUACUGUGCAGUGUGAUUCUCUAAAUUGAACCCAGGCAACCAUUUCUUGUCAUCAUAGUGCAUAUGUCUGGUGUAGAGAAUCUUGUGGAAUUUUGCUGAAAUGCAGAUAAGGUCCAUGUAACAAGGUGGGAGUGUAUUUUCCCAGCAGGAGAUAAAAUCAAGAUGUGUAAAUGGAGGUGGUGGAUAGGCAGAUAGCAAAGGCCUUUUAAUUUCCUGUUUUGUGAUUAAAAAUUUGAUUUUCUGAGAAAUAGAGUAGUAUAGAGUCUUUGAACAUCACAACAGGUAAGGACAGGGGUUUUCCUGUUUGUGUUAUUUAGGAAAGUGAUGACAAUAAAUAUAUUAAAAAAAAAAAAAUAUAUAUAUA